This 2799-nucleotide long non-coding RNA is filed under the name Cottoperca gobio. Its description in RNAcentral is "lncRNA (ENSCGOG00000020094.1)". The record is from RNAcentral. Lineage: Eukaryota; Metazoa; Chordata; Actinopteri; Perciformes; Bovichtidae.
CAGAAAUAGCCAGCAAACAAGUCCUGAAUUAGUGAAGGAGGGUGAAAGGGUCAGCUGUCACUGGGGCAGGAAUGAGGCAGAGAGAAGGAGCCACCAAGAGUGUCAGAAGCUCCAUUGCCAGGACACGAACCAACAGGAAAGCAGAUCCAACACAUUUAAACAGAUUGAAAGUAAAUAAGAAGACAGGCAGGUCAUAAGGAACUGGGAGCUGUUCGUUUUCUAUGAAAAAAGGAGGUCAAUUGCAAAUUUCCGAGACAGCUCCUUAAUCCAAACCAAGGGGACGCUGUGUGUCUCGGUCAAAGCUAUGUCUGCUCUCUAUCUGUCAAAGGUGGUACCUCAGGAUUCAACACGCAGCCUUUUAAAACCGGCACAAGAUCAGUCAUCUGCAUCUGGGAAAAGAUCCCAACUAACCAAGAUGUCCAAAGACUCCGAACAAAGGAAAGAUGACCCUCCUCCACUUCCUUCAGCCGGACAUAAACCAGGACCAGAAGACAUCUCUGGGGCACAUGUCCCACAAUUCAUGCCAUCCCAACUCUCCAAAGAAAAGCUGUACCAACAGCGGCAAAAAUGUGAGCUGAGAAGGCUCCUGAAGCACACUCACCCGGAGCUGAAGAUGUUGAAUGAAGUUGUGGAUGAGGAGCUUGCUGAGGUUUUGAGAUUAGAGACUGGGGUGACAGCUGGUGAAACAGGAUACGAGGGAGAGGUCCUUUCAAGAUGCUUGAUAUUUGAGAACUGUGCCCAGAUUAACAAAGUAUCUCCUUACACCCCCAAGAUGCGCACGGCAGAAAGAACAAUGGAAAGAGGCGUUGUCAGUAAAACAUCAGCUGUGUUUGAGGAGCAUGAAGAAAGGACUUGUAAUGAAAGUGAUAAAGGCAUCGUAGAGGAUGACAAAACACUUGGGUCUAGUCCAGAUCCUAACAGAGAGUGUGAGGAGGAGAUGAUAAAAAUAGAUGUUCAGGCUACCCGAAGGAUAUUUGAGAGUCAGUCUGUUAACACAUCCACACCAAAUCCAGAUAAUAAGUGCCAGGGAAAAGUUUCUAUUUCUGGAGAUGAGACAGGGGCAGUCAGAAAACAAAAACAGGAGUUUGAAAUGUAUAGCAAAGAUAAUCUACACAUCGAAAACAAAAGCAAUACAUCUACCAAAAGUCUUGAUUUGACAGACCAGCCCAAUAAACAAGGCCCAUGUGUUCAUAUCAUUGGUCAAAGCUCUGACCAUGUGUUUUCUGAUAGGAAAGGGGAUUCUACUGGUGAAACAGUCUUUGAGGGUGAGCCUACAAGCUCCCAUGAUCCAGAAGAAUUUGGGAAAAUAAUCGAAACGAGUGCAGCUCUUUCCCAAAACAACCCAUUUAUCCCAACAAACAUAGAAAGGGAACAUUCCUUUGUGCAUACAUCACAAUCACAAAGCCCAGCAGGAGACAGUGGGGCAGCUCAGGACCUUCUGAUAGCUAAUGUCAAGAACAGAGCUCACUUGUUUGAAUCAAUGCCAUUUGACCAAAUCAGGAAUCAGAACAAGAACGAAAUUGAGACGUUGGUUGAGAACAUCAAGGAAACGCUGAAUUCCCUUCAUCACGUUAAUGCCAUACAUUCAGAUGGCUUAAUCAUUGAGGUAAAUGAGACAAUGAUAGCUAAAAAGCCAAAUUCACACUAUCAGAGAGUGGGCCUGAGAUUAAAUAUGAUGAGGUGGCUGAAGGUGGUGCACAAAACUUCAUACUCCAGUUGCUACCACGGUCAAACCUAAAGCCUCAAAUCAUUUAUCUAAAGGAGGGUAGUAAAGGAAAUAUAGAGACAACAGUGAUGAAUGUACCGGUGCAGCAUCAUCACUUCAAUACCAACCAAGACACAGAGUUUAAAACGGCCAAUGUGGUUCAGCUUGUUGAGGAUAUUCUCAAUCAAGAUAACUCUCUGCGGAAAGGAGUGAUUAUCCAGGAGGAUACCGACAGAUGUGCUGAAGUCAUUGUUUACUCCCUCUACAAUUAUUUUGAUGAGGAAGAUGUGAACAGUUUCUGUCCUCCACAAGGUGCAGAGUAUGAUGAACCAGAGCAAGAAAGAGAUGUGAGUAAAACAGACAGUCAAGAACUAAGAAGAGAUGUUAUUGGAUCAACCACAAGCUGCCUUCUAGAAACUCCCAAAUACCAAAUCUGCCAAGGAUCAAUAAGGCCUGAAAUCACAGUAAAAGGGAAUGUGAAAUUGUUCAAGAGUUGUAUUGAAAAGGGAGAAUUGGAGUAUUUGAAAACUCUUCAGGAUGAGCCAACAGUGCAAGAACAAGAACUCCCUUCUUACCAAAAUGUGGCUGGACAAGGAAUGGAGCUUCAUCACGAACAGCAAGGUGAUCAAGCAGAGGAGAGUACUGCAGAAUGGGUCCCAGUGGAUGUAAAGAGACUGAAAAACAUGUUCUCUGGAGAUCAAGGACCAACCCAACUGAAACAAAAUAUAUGUGGAAGUCUUGCCCAGUCUACCACCAUCUCUUGUGCAUUCACAAGUCAAAAUGUGCCACGAGGAAAGAACCAGUCCUCUACAGAAUAUAUUCAUGGGCAAGUAAAGAAUAGCUUUGAGAGUGGUGGAAAAACACAAGAAGGAGAAUGUAACUCUACAGUUGCACCACAGGGAUCAUACCUACAUCUUGAGACUAAGGACGAUGGUAGGCUGAAGACUAAGGCUGAAUUAGUCGAGGUGGUGGAUAACAAUGAUGAGAUCUCUAACCUCCAAACUGCAAUACAUAGCCUCCAUCAGGCCACAAUCGAGGCCAAAUCUUUGCAUCACUCGUCACAAGCAAAAGCGGAAUUUCUUGUUCAAGAUCCC